RNAcentral lists this ribosomal RNA (301 nucleotides) under uncultured bacterium. RNAcentral describes it as "partial 16S ribosomal RNA". It matches the Rfam family "Bacterial small subunit ribosomal RNA", at positions 509 to 809 of the family's 1533-position model. The record is from RNAcentral.
CAGCAGCCGCGGUAAUACGGAGGGUGCAAGCGUUAUCCGGAUUUAUUGGGUUUAAAGGGUCCGUAGGCGGACUUAUAAGUCAGUGGUGAAAGCCUGUCGCUUAACGAUAGAACUGCCAUUGAUACUGUAAGUCUUGAGUAUAUUUGAGGUAGCUGGAAUAAGUAGUGUAGCGGUGAAAUGCAUAGAUAUUACUUAGAACACCAAUUGCGAAGGCAGGUUACCAAGAUAUAACUGACGCUGAGGGACGAAAGCGUGGGUAGCGAACAGGAUUAGAUACCCCGGUAGUCCCUGUCUCUUAUAA